Molecule: ribosomal RNA, 254 nt
Filed under: uncultured bacterium
Lineage: Bacteria
Description: partial 16S ribosomal RNA
Rfam family: Bacterial small subunit ribosomal RNA
Source: RNAcentral
UACGUAGGGGGCUAGCGUUGUCCGGAAUCAUUGGGCGUAAAGCGCGCGUAGGCGGCCCGGUAAGUCCGCUCUGAAAGUCCAGGGCUCAACCCUGGAAAGCGGGUGGAUACUGCCGGGCUAGAAUCCGGAAGAGGCGAGUGGAAUUCCUGGUGUAGCGGUGGAAUGCGUAGAGAUCCGGAAGAACACCGGUGGCGAAGGCGGCCUGCUGGGCAGUAGCUGACGGCUGAGGCGCGACAGCGUGGGGAGCAAACGGG